This is a long non-coding RNA of Populus nigra (black poplar), 1478 nucleotides long. RefSeq lists it as uncharacterized. Lineage: Eukaryota; Viridiplantae; Streptophyta; Magnoliopsida; Malpighiales; Salicaceae. The transcript has 2 exons. The record is from RefSeq and is a predicted model, not a curated record.
CCAUGUUAGAAAACUAGAAAGAUUCAUAAUUUAGAAAUAAAAAAGACUAUGCCUUUCUUGGCAAAUCCUAGUGAGAAUUAUUUUUCGUAAAUCUUCACUAAAUAUUGGAUUUUCCAACACCAGAACCAUCUAAUAAAGAGAUGAUCAAGACUCAAUUGAAUUGAGUCAACAAAUUGAGAGAAAAUUAUGUUAACAAUAAAUUGAGAGAGAAAAUUAAACUAUAUUCAUAAACAACAGAUUUUUUUAAGUUAAUUCAGGCCAAUUUAUUUAAUUUAUAACCCGAUUAUUAUACCGGAUUGAUCGGAGAAUCGGGUUUAAAAACGAUAGUCAAUUGCAGUGGAUUCUCUAGCUCCGGAUCAAGAUACAACCCAACCUUUUCCUUUUCAUGCGACGACCUCACCUUCUUUUCCCUCCACACCUUUUUUUCUCAUCACAAAAUUGAGGAGUGCUACAAUGCUAGCAUGUAUAUAACAAGAACUAUUCGCAAAGCGAGGGUAGAUAGUUUUUACAGAGCAUGGAUGCUAUGGGAAAAACCUACACUUACUAGCUAUGAUAGCUAAGGAGAGUCGUAAUACAGAGAAGGGUGUGAAUGCUCUUAGCUAAUGUGAGUAGGUAAAUAUUCGAAUACCUUACCAAACGUCAUCUGAUCACACGGAUCAUAUGACAUCAAUCACGGAUUAUAAUUACAAGGCAAAGAUUGAAAGCGGCAGCACGGCAGGACAACGCCCAUGCCCGCCCUCUCGGCGUUCCUGCGUUACCCCCAGAAAAGCCGAAACGGAUUUCGAAAAAGUUCCUUAAUCAGAGAAAUCAGAGAAAUCCCCGGACGAAUCUAGAACUUUCUAGAAUUUGACGACGGUGUUCUUUCUGCUUCUGGGCGGCUUUGUGAAGUUAUUUGCCUGAGAUUUGGAUCGAAUUGCAGUGUAGAAUGUGCUUGCUGAAUGCUCUCUUGUUGAUUUCGUAAGGUUUCGUCAUUGAUUUUCAGAUUCUCAAAGCACAGUGAAUUGUAGCUAUUGGAUGUAUUGGACUGGUGAAAGCUGUGAUCUUUAGUCUUUUAUAUGGAAAAUUACACUGAACCCGAACCUCAACAGAGCGAAGCAGGUAUGCAUUUUUCUUUGUCAAAGCUCAUCUCUUUGUUUGCUUUUUUCUACUUUACCUGCUAUCGGUUGCGUUAAUGUUUUCAUUUAUGCAUAUGCAAAUGGCAUUUGCAGUGUGCAAUUUUUUCAUGAAGUCUAUUUUUCAGUAGCUCCUCAAAACUCUAUGUAUCUGUCUGAGCUAUCUUUUUAGAAAACAAUCCGAUUCAUUAGAGAGUAUGUUUGUAAUUAAUAAAAUAGGGGCUUCUUUUAAGUGUAUUGGUCAAGAGUUUCAAGCUUUUGUAGUUUUAAAUUGCUAGGCAGGAGUUACAUUGCACUUUAUACUUUGUAGUAGUGAUACUGAGGACAUUAGAGUUGUUCUAUUUACAAAAUUUAGAUCUUGGAUUA